GAUGAAGAACGUAGCGAAAUGCGAUAAGUAGUGUGAAUUGCAGAAUUCAGUGAAUCAUCGAAUCUUUGAACGCACAUUGCGCCCCUUGGUAUCCCGAGGGGCAUGCCUGUUCGAGCGUCAUUUCACCACUCAAGCCUGGCUUGGUGUUGGGCGACGUCCUCUUUGGGGACGCGCCUCGAAACGCUCGGCGGCGUGGCACCGGCUUUAAGCGUGGCAGAAUCUUUCGCUUUGGAGGUCGGGGCCCCGUCUGCCGGAAGACCUGCUCGCAAGGUUGACCUCGGAUCAGGCAGGGAUACCCGCUGAACUUAAGCAUAUCAAUAAGCGGAGGA
Molecule: unclassified non-coding RNA, 329 nt
Filed under: soil metagenome
Description: partial contains 5.8S ribosomal RNA, internal transcribed spacer 2, and large subunit ribosomal RNA
Rfam family: 5.8S ribosomal RNA (bases 1-120)
Source: RNAcentral